Long non-coding RNA from Lates calcarifer (barramundi perch), 528 nucleotides. RefSeq lists it as uncharacterized. Lineage: Eukaryota; Metazoa; Chordata; Actinopteri; Centropomidae. The transcript is spliced from 3 exons. The record is from RefSeq and is a predicted model, not a curated record.
AGGUGUCAAAAACUGUCAAAAAUGUCAUAGUAUAGUAAGGCGUCAAAAAUGGUCAAAAAAUGUCAUAGUAUAGUAAGGCGUCAAAAAUGGUCAAAAAAUGUCAUACUAUAGUAAGGCGUCAAAAAUGGUCAAAAAAUGUCAUACUAUAGUAAGGCGUCAAAAAUGGUCAAAAAAUGUCAUAGUAUAGUAAGGCGUCAAAAAUGGUCAAAAAAUGUCAUAGUAUAGUAAGGCGUCAAAAAUGGUCAAAAAAUGUCAUAGUAUAGUAAGGCGUCAAAAAUGGUCAAAAAAUGUCAUAGUAUAGUAAGGCGUCAAAAAUGGUCAAAAAAUGUCAUAGUAUAGUAAGGUGUCAAAAACCAUCAAAAAAUGUCAUAGUAUAGUAAGGUGUCAAAAAUGGUCAAAAAAUGUCAUAGUAUAGUAAGGCGUCAAAAAUGGUCAAAAAAUGUCAUAGUAUAGUAAGGCGUCAAAAAUGGUCAAAAAAUGUCAUAGUAUAGUAAGGUGUCAAAAAUGGUCAAAAAAUGUCAUAGUAUA